GCCGUGCUGUGAUGAGUUGCAUGUUAGUCCGUGUUUCACCUGAAAAUCACAUGAUUACACACAUGCGCUGAGCAGGUC
Scleropages formosus (Asian bonytongue) is the source of this 78-nucleotide small nucleolar RNA. Ensembl annotates it as small nucleolar RNA SNORD126. The record is from Ensembl. NCBI's taxonomy places the organism in Eukaryota, Metazoa, Chordata, Actinopteri, Osteoglossiformes, Osteoglossidae.